This is a regulatory RNA element of 46 nucleotides. It matches the Rfam family "L31-Actinobacteria ribosomal protein leader". The record is from Rfam.
UCGGUCCCGGUUCACGUGCGGCACUCCCAGCCGCCGACCCGGUGCC